Molecule: long non-coding RNA, 1583 nt
Filed under: Ananas comosus (pineapple)
Lineage: Eukaryota; Viridiplantae; Streptophyta; Magnoliopsida; Poales; Bromeliaceae
Description: long non-coding RNA (ACOM_LNC036353)
Source: RNAcentral
AUAGUAUUAGUAAGCAAAUAUAUAUAGUGUAGCUAUUAAGAGUACGGAGACCUCUUUACUUCUAAGUCCUUUUUGAUGAUGAAACUUUCGAAUUAACGAUCAGCUCCAUUAGACUUGAUCUAGUGUAUUUGAAGUAUUUAGAAAAUAUUUUUUUUGAAUUUUCGAUAUUAUUUACCUAAUGAUCAAAAUAAUUCAAAAUCAAUAAUUUUUAAUGAUUGAUCAAUGUCGUUUGCAAGUUCAACAAUGCACAAAUAUUCAAAUAAGAUAAAAUUUUGAUAAAAAUUUUUUUAUAUUAUUUCUGAUCGAAAAUUUAGUACUACAUCAUCAUUUUUUUAUGAGAUAUUUAUUUUCAACUAUUAAUUUUGAGUCGUUUUUAUUACUAAAUAAAUAAUAUUGAAAAAUCAUAAAAUUUAUUUUCUAGAUAGUUUCAACACGCUAGAUCAAGUCUACACUACAACAGAAUUAGGUUAUAGGGACACAUGUUUGGGACACUUUUGAGUAAGUGUCCCAUUUAUACUAAAACUUAAAAACACAUAUACUAAUACUUAAAUAUAAAGUCCAAUCCAACCAAAAAUAAAAGAUUACUCUACUCAACCCACCGCACCCAGUCCAUUUGGUCCGAUUACAAACAGAAAAGAAAAAAAAAAAAAAAAUCAAUUACCAUCUUUUCUUCUCUCUUCACUCAAUCCACUGAAAUUUUAGACGAAGAGGCUUUACUGUCGUCCUCCUCCGCCACCGCAGCCAACGAGAUAGAAUUUUGGCGGUUGCUAAAUGCUUAAAUAAGUGUUGGUAAAUUAGCAGCACUCUUUUAGGUUAUAGCGACACUCUUUAACUGUCACUAUAUACCUAGCGACCCCACAUAUAGCAACACUUUUAAAAGUGUCGGUAAUUUUAGCUAGCAGCACUUUUUUGACAUGUGCCUAUAUUUAAAAGUGUCGCUAUAGACCGUUUUUGUUGUAGUGCUAACGAAGCCGAUAUAUCGUCGAUUUUAAAGUUACAUUAUCGAAAAUAACUUAGAAACACGGAAAUCUCCGUGCUUCUAAUAACACGAGACACCUACUCAAUAUAUAUAUAUAUAUAUAUAUAGAGUGAGGCUACUAUGCUUCUGGAAGCACGGAGCCUUCCGUGCUUCCAGGUCAUUUUUCAUGUUGCGACUUUUGAAUCGUCAAUCGGUUCCGUUAAACUUAAUCUAGAGUAUUUGAAGUACCUAGAAAAUAAAUUAUGUGAUUUUUCGAUUUUAUUUGCCUAGUGAACGAAGGGGCUCAAAAUCAACGGCUGAAAAUAAAAAUUUUACAAAACGUGAUAAUAUGACAUUAAAAUUUUAGAUCAAAGAUAUCGAUCUUGUUUUAUAUAGUAUAAAAAAUUUUCUAUCAAAAUUUUACGUGAUUUGGAUAUUUUUACACCGUUAAACUUGCAAACGGCUCACUAUGGCCAUUAAAAUUAUUGAUUUUGAGCCCCUUCGAUCACUGGCAAAUGAUAUCGAAAAAUCAUAAAAUUUAUUUUUUGGGUACUUUAAAUACUCUAGAUCAAGUUUAACGGAGCCGAUCGACGAUUCGAAAGUCGCAACAUCGAAAACGACGCGG